UUUCAAAUAAAGUAUAACGGC
RNAcentral lists this non-coding RNA (21 nucleotides) under Caenorhabditis elegans. Lineage: Eukaryota; Metazoa; Nematoda; Chromadorea; Rhabditida; Rhabditidae. The record is from RNAcentral.